GGUUACCUGGGGUGUUUGACAGAAAAUUGUAUCCCUGAGCCGAUAAUACUUUUACAGGAAAGUAUUUUAUUUGCUAUUGCGCAAGCUCGACUCACUUCGGUGGGCAAUCGAGAAGCCUACGGCAAAAAUAUAUUUUCCGCCCUGAACACGUCGGUUGUUCAUGGGUUAGGUUUUCAUCGGCACCUUGGGUUCCAC
This 195-nucleotide non-coding RNA is filed under the name Psychrosphaera aquimarina. RNAcentral's name for it is "6S RNA". It matches the Rfam family "6S / SsrS RNA". From Rfam's summary of the family: E. coli 6S RNA was the first non coding RNA to be sequenced, but its function was unknown until recently. It consists of 184 nucleotides that fold into an extended hairpin structure with a large single-stranded internal bulge. The record is from RNAcentral. Lineage: Bacteria; Pseudomonadati; Pseudomonadota; Gammaproteobacteria; Alteromonadales; Pseudoalteromonadaceae. RNAcentral also lists the same sequence under 1 other name.